GAUCGGAGGCUACGCAAAGAGUUCUAUCUAUCUCGGCAUGGGUGGGGGUGGUGGCAAGAUCCUCGCCGUUCUCUCCCCCGACCAAAGGAAUAGGGAAUCUGAUAAUAGCAUGGAAAACUGGUGAUUCAGCUUGUAAUCUGCAACGUUCUCACCGUUGCACGACUGCACGAGAUGACGAUGGUCCAAUGCCCAUCCAAAUUUACAAAGCGAUGGCAAGAAUACAAUCAUGAAAGGAGGAAGACCAUGGGAGGGCAAAGCUAAUGUUGGGUGUUUCCUUUCGUUUGACGAGGUGCAGGAAAAUAGACAGUACGAGGGAAGAGCGAUGCAGGGAAAAUAGGAAGCAAGAGAGAAGAGAAAAGCUCAAGCGGCAAUGACCAAAGCCUCCCGGCGGAUGACCGGAGGCCACCGUCGAACGUUUGAGCAUUGCCUCUCUUCUUGCAUCUCACAUGCCGGUGGAUGGCCAGAUCACACAAAACAGAAAAUGGGGUCAAGCUGUCUACACUGUUGCGGGGAGGAACCGGUAUGCUGCUACUGCGAGCUGCGGUUGAGAAGAGGAAACAAGAAGGGGGAGACUGAUCACCCUAACGGGUGAAAUGUUAACGGGCAAAAAAUUUAUCCAGGGUUUCAGCAAUUCAAACGGGCCCUGGCUUUCGCCACAGACCAGGACUCCAGCCGUCGCCGGUGAUCAAUGAAGUUCGACGAAAUCACCGGGCGUGUCUGUCUACCAGCAUGGUAUCAUGGCACCGAGGCUUCGCGGCGUGAUCGCCGGUUCCAGCGACCGGCUGGACGACGCCGGACAGACUGUAGCAUGGGCUGGUCUCCGACGUCAGAUGGCCUGAUCAACAUUUAUUCAGAAGCAUACAACAAGGCCCCAAAACACAGAGGGUUCCGCUCCAGCAGAUGCAGGGGUACCUUGCCUCCUGACUGGAAAGCAAAGCAGUGACCAGAAGGGAAAGAGGGUUCAGGCAGCAAUGGAACUAGGUAUCCGAAUAUUGACGGCAAAAGUAGGCCGCUGACGCAGGAGGCGCAUAGCGUUCGACAUGUUCAGGCGAUUCCAUUGGUUUUCUUCUUCUUGCCUCAACGGAAAAUGUUGGAUCUGGUCCGAACAGAAUAGCGGCGUAAAGUCAGUGUUCGGCCUUCAGGGGUUGUUUCCCUUCCGAUCAAAACUGGAACACGGAAGCCAACCUUCGGUUCUCUCUAACGGUUCAAUAACCAAGCCGUUGAUUCCAAUGUUGAAGCUUUGUGGUUCAGGAUCUUGACGCAGCAUCAACUUUAAUUAACGUGCAAGUGUAAACCUGCAAAAAACGCAGCAACCCAGCAGCAAAACGAAGCAACGUAGCGGCACAGGGCAAGCGAGAGAGAGAGAGAGCGGUGAGUUGAGGGGAUUUACGGGUUUUCUUCAAGGAGCCCUUGAAUGUGUUCUCUCUCACUUGCAUAGAGAUGGAGGGUGUUGGGCCUUUAUGACUGGCAUCCCCGAAUGCCAGGCUAGUGGAAACUCCUCGAUUUUUUCAGUUUUUUUUGUAACUAUUGUAAAAGACUGAAUGACUUUGUAACCGACUAAUCGUCCUCCUAUUGGUGGGCGGGCCCUCUCAUCUCAUGGCCACAACCCACGACGUCUUUCCGGCCACACGCGACUGCCUUACUACUGCUGCA
Molecule: long non-coding RNA, 1653 nt
Organism: Nymphaea colorata (pocket water lily)
Lineage: Eukaryota; Viridiplantae; Streptophyta; Magnoliopsida; Nymphaeales; Nymphaeaceae
Exons: 4
Source: RefSeq, a predicted model, not a curated record